AUUACAUGUGGACAGAUGGGUACAGAUGUGCACAUUUAUGGAAAGCAGCAGCAGUGUUUGUCACAAACUGUUGGAAAAAGAGAAAAACUGCUCUGUCAUUCUCCUCCCCGUCACCACGGCAACGCACCAUGGCAACUGCACCUCCUCCAAUCAGCUGCAGCGCAGACUUUCCUGUUUCCUCUUUUUACAGGAGAGAAAAGGGCAACCUGUUUACAGAGAGGGGACGAAGCCUUUGUUUUCACACUUUUUCUACUCGGGCUUUGUUUUUUACCACAAACGUGUGUAUGUAUGUAUGUCUGUGUGUGUGUUACAGCAGUGCAGUUUGAAAGCAUCACAAUCAGCAGGAACAAACAUUUAAAGUUACUUCAUCUUUGCACUGAGAGCUUUUCCUCCUCCUUAUAUUAG
This 405-nucleotide long non-coding RNA is filed under the name Gouania willdenowi (blunt-snouted clingfish). RNAcentral's name for it is "lncRNA (ENSGWIG00000000587.1)". Lineage: Eukaryota; Metazoa; Chordata; Actinopteri; Blenniiformes; Gobiesocidae. The record is from RNAcentral.